UACGUAGGGGGCUAGCGUUAUCCGGAAUUACUGGGCGUAAAGGGUGCGUAGGCGGUCUUUCAAGCCAGAAGUGAGAGGCUACGGCUCAGCCGUAGUAAGCUUUUGGAACUGUAAGACUUGAGUGCAGGAGAGGAGAGUGGAAUUCCUAGUGUAGCGGUGAAAUGCGUAGAUAUUAGGAGGAACACCAGUAGCGAAGGCGGCUCUCUGGACUGUAACUGACGCUGAGGCACGAAAGCGUGGGGAGCAAACAGGAUUAGAUACCCUGGUA
This 268-nucleotide ribosomal RNA is filed under the name uncultured prokaryote. RNAcentral's name for it is "partial 16S ribosomal RNA". It matches the Rfam family "Bacterial small subunit ribosomal RNA", at positions 524 to 792 of the family's 1533-position model. The record is from RNAcentral.